Long non-coding RNA from Aphis gossypii (cotton aphid), 413 nucleotides. RefSeq lists it as uncharacterized. The record is from RefSeq and is a predicted model, not a curated record. The transcript has 2 exons. Lineage: Eukaryota; Metazoa; Arthropoda; Insecta; Hemiptera; Aphididae.
AUUUAUUUAUAAUUAUAAUCACGGUUUAAGACACGGUCUUAGAUUAAUAGAAUUCUAUCUUAAUUCGUGAUUAUAAUAUAUGACUGAUUUUUAUAUGUUUCUCUUGAAAAAUAAAAAUCAUAGGGUCAAACUAGAUGGGCUUGUUUGACCAUCACGUAUUCUUCCUUAUGAGAAACAGUCUCAUAGAACAAAUUUUUAGCUAUGCCCAACAGUCACAGUGCCGUAAAUAGACUACUCGAGGCUUGUGUGCAAAUCAAAAUCUAGAGGACCUGUGUGGCCGCAUUAUAAUCUCUUUUUGAAGCCCUCCAACAUAGUAUGAGGUCUGUGGCUUGUGUGCGGUGCACACUCUGCACAUUAUUUUUUAAUUGGAACAUAAUACCUAAUAAAAUGGAUAUUGAAGCAUAAAUAAAUAA